GUGCCAGCAGCCGCGGUAAUACAGAGGUGGCAAGCGUUGUUCGGAAUUACUGGGCGUAAAGGGCGCGUAGGCGGUCGAUUAAGUCCCGUGUGAAAUCCCUCGGCUCAACUGAGGAACUGCACGGGAAACUGGCUGACUUGAGUUCGGGAGAGGGAAGCGGAAUUCCGGGUGUAGCGGUGAAAUGCGUAGAUAUCCGGAGGAACACCGGUGGCGAAGGCGGCUUCCUGGACCGAUACUGACGCUGAGGCGCGAAAGCUAGGGGAGCAAACGGGAUUAGAAACCCUGGUAGUCC
Molecule: ribosomal RNA, 292 nt
Filed under: uncultured bacterium
Lineage: Bacteria
Description: partial 16S ribosomal RNA
Rfam family: Bacterial small subunit ribosomal RNA
Source: RNAcentral